AACAUUUGACUCCCUUUUGCAAUGGGAAACCCUAAGAUGAGGGCAUCGAAGGAGAAGGUCUGCAGUUUCGUCGAAGAGGCAACGGAGCUCCCAUGGCGUCAGAGUCGGAUUACGGAUGGCAUUCACCAGUGUUAAACAGUCCGAUUCCAGGUCUAUUCGAUCCAUCUCCAGUCCUUUCUGUAUCACGAAUUUCAGUGUGAGAUUCAACGCUAUCACCUCUGUUUGCAGGGCCGAAGAUGUAGAGACAGAUUUCGCAAAUCCAUCGAUUAAUAUGCCUGAAGAAUUUCUGCACACACAAGCAACAGAAGCUUC
This 312-nucleotide long non-coding RNA is filed under the name Eucalyptus grandis. RNAcentral's name for it is "long non-coding RNA (EGRA_LNC002222)". The record is from RNAcentral. Lineage: Eukaryota; Viridiplantae; Streptophyta; Magnoliopsida; Myrtales; Myrtaceae.